GGAAAGAGAAUACAAGGAAGCCCUUGAAGCCUUUAAUGAAAAGAACAAGGAGAAAGUACAGCUAAUCACCAAACUAAUGGAGGUUAGUUUCAAAUAUUUUUCCUGUUCAGAUAGAAAAAUGCAAGAGUUACACUUUCUAAUUUUGGGAUCUCUUUCUUCACAAUCUGCAUUGUGGCUUUUCUAUCGGAUGAACAGCUGGUGGGCGAAAGCGAGAAGUUGAGGAUGAAGAAGCUGGAGGAGCUGAGUAAGAGCAUAGAUUCUAUACAAAACUGAUAAUAACCUAAUGCUGAUAAACUGAUGAUUAGGUCUGAGUGAUGUAUUUAAGAUGACUAUGAUAUUUAUUAUAUAUGGUGUUUUCAGUUUGUUGUAUUGUAUGUGUCCUUGUUUGUUUUCAAGUAGAAUUUGUUGGAUCAUUAGCUGAUUUAGGAAGGGAAUUACCCGAUAAACAGGUUUGUAACUAAAUGCAUCAUGUCUUGACUCUGCUUUUCUUGUUAUUUUUACUCUUGUUCAACUUUGUAAUGUCUCCUUAUUGAGUUUUUGUGUAAUUUGGGGUUUGUACCGAGGCCGUAUUAUCUAGUUUGUAAACUAUUUGCUGAUCUGUGAACAACUUGGUUUGCCAUUCUUUCUUCAAGCAUUCCAUAGAGGCUGCAGAUGGAAUUGCUUCAAUCUAAGACAUGAAGCAAUUCUGUUAAUGCAGGUGAGAAACUGCAUAGAAGAACAUUCAUUUUUAGUGUUAAAGGUAAAAGUUGUGCUUUCUGGAAUCAAUUUCUUUACAUACUCGAUACUAGGCAACAGCAUCAUUUUACGUGUGACGUUGAUAUAUUAGCAAAACUUAUCCUAUCAAUUCAUGGAAAAGAUGUGGCUUUGCUGUAAAUGGUGAUUGUGUGGUCGGGAAAUGAUGCAGCUCUAAUGGUUUAUACAGAUCAUUCUGAUAGCCAUUUCCUUUUUCUGAAAGUUGCUUUCAGAUUCAUUCUUCAUGACAUUAUUUUUUGCUCUGUAACCCUGGGUGGUCCAAGUAAGUAUUAACUCACUUGGAAUCUACAUGGUUUAUGGUAGCUUCCAAAUCCCAGCGUGUGGUUAACAUUAUUGCGGAUUAAGCAUCUUGAUGAUUGGAUUUUUGCAUGGAAAAUAUGUUGUGCCCGUGUGACUUUUAAUCAGAAAUGCUCAUGUAGAUGUGGGCAACUACCCCAAAUUUGCCAUUCAUUUAGUGACCAACUAAACACGUGAUGCAAUUUUGUAACCGUGCCCAUAUGGGUAACGUUGGCCCUAGAUUUAUCCAAGAAUUAUUGAUAUAGAUGCGAAUAUACCGUCGUCAUGAAGUAAAAUUACCAACGAUCAAGCAUACAUGGGAGGGUACAAUAGUCACUUAACUCAUUUUAAGCACCCAAGAUGUUCUAAAAUGGAAUGGUCUUCAACAAUUAAAGGGAAUUUUUCAUCCUUUAUGUUUCCCCAUCUUUAUGAUGUAUCCACAGCGUAGCUUAUCGUUUACUACGAGUCUACUACCAAAGGCAAGACUCGUAUGUGGAUGAGACUGGAGGGGGCAUCGUUACCUUAUCCUAUCCUCUACUCGACGUUGUCAUUUUUCAAUGGAAAUAACACAAUACAUGAACAAUGAAAAGACCUGGCAAUGAAACCACAUCCAGAAAUUUAGGACUCUGCUUUCAUUUCUGUCUUAAGCCGGGCUACUUAACUUUUGGCUUUUGAAUAAACUAAUUUAUUGUGAUUUUUAAAGGUUUCUUAUUAUUAAUGUGAAUUAUGAACCUGUUAAACGCUCAACAUCAUCAUAUUUAUUAUUUUUUAUUUUUCAGAAAAUAGACAGUUUACCGAACUGAUAUUGAAGCUCAAAAUGUUGACCUAUAUUUAUCAUCAUUAUAUGAGUUCAGGUACUAGAUUAAUGAUAUAUUUAUUUGCCCUUCUCAUGGGACAGAAAGGCCUACCGUUUUAACAACUACAACUACCAGCUAAAGAUAAUAUUUCCUUCUCCUCGUUCUUUUUAAUUCUUUUGUUAAAAAUCAUUAGAUAAGACAAAUUGAAAUUCAAUGCAAUCUAGGAACAAGAGACAAACAAUGUUGUAACAACCAUGUUGGGAUGCGGUGAUGAUUCAUUACGGUACUUGCAUAUUUAUUUUAUAGAGUUGGAGGGAGCUAAUUUAGGUCCUAUUUGGGAUUAAUGUACCAUAAAAAAAUAUAUAAUUAUAAAAUUAAAGUUAAUAAUUUAUAGUAAAUAUAAAUUUUAAAUAAUAAUUCUGAUAAAAUUAUUAAAGAUAUAAUUGAUUUUUUAUUAUACAAGUGAAAAGUUAUAUCAAUAUAACUUCCAAAUUACAGUAGUUAGUGCUUACCAAACACUUUAAUGCUAUAACUUUUACCCUACAGCUGCCUAACAGGCCAAAAAUACCCGCCCGGUCCGGACCCGGACCGUACCCAAACGUUGUAGGCCGGGUAUUACCUUACCCGAGUAUAAAGCUGGGCCAGUCUUGGGCACACUUGAUAAACCCGGAACCUAAAUUUUAUUUUAAAAAAUAUUAUAAAAUAUAUAUUAUUUUAAAUAUUUAUAUUUAUUUGACUCAUUUAUUACACAUAUAUGAAGUUUUAAAUACUUAAAGUUUAUAUUUUCAUGUCAAAUUUUAUUGAAAUAAAUUUAAAACUUAUAAAAUUACCAGAAUAUAAAAAAAAUAUACACAUAUAAUAUUAAAAAGGGAAAAGGACAUUCAACCCCCCAAUGUUUAGUAAAAUGGACAAAAAAUCCCUCAACGUUUCAAAAAGGACUUAUAACCCCCUUUCCGUUAAUAAACGCUGUUUGUUUU
This 2803-nucleotide long non-coding RNA is filed under the name Citrus sinensis (sweet orange). RNAcentral describes it as "long non-coding RNA (CSIN_LNC002707)". The record is from RNAcentral. Lineage: Eukaryota; Viridiplantae; Streptophyta; Magnoliopsida; Sapindales; Rutaceae.